CUUUGUACGUUUAUUAUAUAUUAAUUUUGCCAGCACGCUAAGUAGUAUUGUCUUUGUUGUAAACUCCAAAAAGUACCUUUUUUUCAUACAUAUUUUGCGUACAACACGUGAGCGUUGUCCGUGGGCGCACGUGGAGUGUGGUCGGCACGUGCUGGUGGUUCCGGCGGAAGGGCUCAUUAGGAAGCGUAGGAGACGAUGAGCAACGCCUGUCCUCAGUCUCUGGGUCGCCCCAGCGGGACCAACUGCACCACCCCCGCUGGUUUCACCCCUCAGGUAGGAGGGAGGGGCAACGUGAACUCCCAUAGAAGUCGGGAGCCCUGGGACAGCUGCCCCCUGGUGGCACGAGGGGAUGAACCGGCCAGCAACGCAGCGAUAAACAGUCACUCCGAUAAUGACCGAUACUGCG
Molecule: long non-coding RNA, 406 nt
Organism: Scleropages formosus (Asian bonytongue)
Lineage: Eukaryota; Metazoa; Chordata; Actinopteri; Osteoglossiformes; Osteoglossidae
Source: Ensembl